This 309-nucleotide long non-coding RNA is filed under the name Elaeis guineensis (African oil palm). RNAcentral's name for it is "long non-coding RNA (EGUI_LNC026883)". Lineage: Eukaryota; Viridiplantae; Streptophyta; Magnoliopsida; Arecales; Arecaceae. The record is from RNAcentral.
GUCACAGAAGUAAAAAGCUUACACAUCAAGUAUCCCCAAAAGAGAGUUGGAGGUGGGGAGGGAGACUAAAGAACCAACAAAAUACCGACAAAGCUCGUCGGAAGGUUCUCUUGCGAGGCCCACAAGGUCCUGUCGUGCAGGGGCAUCCAAUGAUGGGCCAAUUCUUGACAAAGAAUAUGCUUCAUUUUUUUUUUUUGAUGAAUGGAUCCAUUCCAAUGACUUGACAUAAAACAGUAAUAAUUGGGCCCACAGUUGAGCCCAUCAACAUUCUUCUUUUUGCACAUGGAGGCUCCUUGGAUCAUGCAUCGA